This 340-nucleotide long non-coding RNA is filed under the name Homo sapiens (human). RNAcentral's name for it is "non-protein coding lnc-UBE3A-4:1". The record is from RNAcentral. Lineage: Eukaryota; Metazoa; Chordata; Mammalia; Primates; Hominidae.
ACGGGGUCUCAGUUGUCCCAGCCUUUUGAGUCCCUCAAGAUCGCUGUGCCUCCCGAUACCGCCGCCGUGCCUGCCAAGCCUGCAACCCCAGCUACACCCGGAUCGCCGACCUCACCAGCAGAACACCACCUGUUGGAGACCUGCUGGAGCUGUCACGUGCUUUCUGGGUUGCGGCUGAUGGGGGCAGGCGGGUAUGUGUACUGGGUGGCACAGAAGCCCAUGAAGAUGGGAUACCCCCCGGGUCCAUGGACCAUUAUGAAGAUGGUCAUGGGCCUUAGCAUUGCCGCCUGGGGUAUCAUUGUCAUGGCAGACCCCAAAAGGAAGGCCUACCACAUUGUUU